GAUGAAGAACGCAGCGAAAUGCGAUAAGUAAUGUGAAUUGCAGAAUCCAGUGAAUCAUCGAAUCUUUGAACGCACAUUGCGCCCGCCAGCAUUCUGGCGGGCAUGCCUGUUCGAGCGUCAUUUCAACCCUCGACCUCCCUUUGGGGAAGUCGGCGUUGGGGACCGGCAGCACACCGCCGGCCCUGAAAUGGAGUGGCGGCCCGUCCGCGGCGACCUCUGCGUAGUAAUCCAACUCGCACCGGAACCCCGACGCGGCUACGCCGUAAAACACCCAACUUCUGAACGUUGACCUCGAAUCAGGUAGGACUACCCGCUGAACUUAAGCAUAUCAAUAAGCGGAGGA
Molecule: unclassified non-coding RNA, 343 nt
Filed under: soil metagenome
Description: partial contains 5.8S ribosomal RNA, internal transcribed spacer 2, and large subunit ribosomal RNA
Rfam family: 5.8S ribosomal RNA (bases 1-120)
Source: RNAcentral